UGGCUCAGAUUGAACGCUGGCGGCAGGCCUAACACAUGCAAGUCGAGCGGAAACGAGAAGUAGCUUGCUACUUCGGCGUCGAGCGGCGGACGGGUGAGUAAUGCCUAGGAAGUUGCCCAGUAGAGGGGGAUAACCAUUGGAAACGAUGGCUAAUACCGCAUAAUSUCUUUGGAGCAAAGCAGGGGACCUUCGGGCCUUGUGCUAUWGGAUAMGCCUAGGUGGGAUUAGCUAGUUGGUGAGGUAAUGGCUCACCAAGGCGACGAUCCCUAGCUGGUCUGAGAGGAUGAUCAGCCACACUGGAACUGAGACACGGUCCAGACUCCUACGGGAGGCAGCAGUGGGGAAUAUUGCACAAUGGGSGAAAGCCUGAUGCAGCCAUGCCGCGUGUAUGAAGAAGGCCUUCGGGUUGUAAAGUACUUUCAGUMGUGAGGAAGGGGGUAAGUUUAAUACGMUUAUCUCUUGACGUUAGCUACAGAAGAAGCACCGGCUAACUCCGUGCCA
This 501-nucleotide ribosomal RNA is filed under the name Vibrio sp. Mj208. Its description in RNAcentral is "bacterial SSU rRNA". It matches the Rfam family "Bacterial small subunit ribosomal RNA", at positions 20 to 510 of the family's 1533-position model. The record is from RNAcentral. Lineage: Bacteria; Pseudomonadati; Pseudomonadota; Gammaproteobacteria; Vibrionales; Vibrionaceae.